Long non-coding RNA from Myotis davidii, 636 nucleotides. RefSeq lists it as uncharacterized. The transcript is spliced from 2 exons. NCBI's taxonomy places the organism in Eukaryota, Metazoa, Chordata, Mammalia, Chiroptera, Vespertilionidae. The record is from RefSeq and is a predicted model, not a curated record.
UGUUCUAACCAACUGCGCCACCCAACCAGGGCCAAAUCCUGGGUUUAAAGAAAAGAAACAUCUAUAAAGGACAUUUGGGAACCCUGGGAGAAAUCCCGUACUUAUUCGCCUGGCACGGAGGGUGACCUCAGCAAGUAGCGCGUGAACCAGGAGGCGAGUUCGGAGCACCCGAUCGAUCCGGAGCCUUUAUGAAGCUUUUACAGCGUUCCCAACAAUGCUUCGUCCUGGGCUCUGUCUGCGCCAACACAGGAUUUACGCAACACCUGCUGUCUGCCUCCCCUACCGUGCGGUGUCUGGGCACCCCACUCAGUCCCUAGGCUGAUGAAGGGCCUAUUUUUCCAAAGGAACAUUUGCCGCGCAAGUACUGCGUGCUUAGCUGUGAUGUGGCAGGGAGAAGGAAGCCCAGAUGAAGCUGGACCCCCGCCGUCACCUGAGGAGCUAAGGAAAACAGGCUCUAAUCAGAUUAGUGCUUGCCUGUAUGGAGCUGGGCGAGUCAUGCCCACUCACCAGGCUUUGGUGUCCCUUUCUCUUAAACAAAAGAAUGGGAUUAGCAGUUCUUUGCUUGGAAAUACCGGUGGCAAUUGAAGAGCAACGUGUGUCUCCCCUCUUUAAAAUAAAUGUUAACGUGAAGUUAAA